UCAGUGGCCGAGUGGGUAACGCGAUGGCGUUUGAAGCGGAAGGUAUUGGGUUCGAGUUCCAGGGUGA
RNAcentral lists this transfer RNA (67 nucleotides) under Schistosoma mansoni. The record is from RNAcentral. Lineage: Eukaryota; Metazoa; Platyhelminthes; Trematoda; Strigeidida; Schistosomatidae.